Molecule: ribosomal RNA, 457 nt
Filed under: uncultured bacterium
Lineage: Bacteria
Description: bacterial SSU rRNA
Rfam family: Bacterial small subunit ribosomal RNA
Source: RNAcentral
UACGGAAGGCAGCAGUGGGGAAUAUUGCACAAUGGGCGAAAGCCUGAUGCAGCUAUGCCGCGUGUAUGAAGAAGGCCUUAGGGUUGUAAAGUACUUUCAUCGGGGAGGAAAAAACAAAACUAAUAAUUUUAUUUCUUGACGUUACCCGAAAAAGAAGCACCGGCUAACUCCGUGCCAGCAGCCGCGGUAAUACGGAGGGUGCUAGCGUUAAUCAGAAUUACUGGGCGUAAAGAGCACGUAGGUGGUUUUUUUAAGUCAGAUGUGAAAUCCCUGGGCUUAACCUAGGAACUGCAUUUUGAAACUGAAAUACUAGAGUAUCGUAGAGGGAGGUAGAAUUCUAGGUGUAGCGGUGAAAUGCGUAGAUAUCUGGAGGAAUACCUGUGGCGAAAGCGGCCUCCUAAACGAAUACUGACACUGAGGUGCUAAAGGCGUGGGGAGCAAACAGGGAUUAGAUACC